Non-coding RNA from Rhodocollybia butyracea, 77 nucleotides. NCBI's taxonomy places the organism in Eukaryota, Fungi, Basidiomycota, Agaricomycetes, Agaricales, Omphalotaceae. The record is from the annotation of a GenBank genome assembly.
GUCCAAGUGGCUCAGUUGGCUGGAGUGUGCUCACGGCUAAUAAAGGCGAAGCUUGGGUUCGAUUCCCACGUUGGUUA